Molecule: ribosomal RNA, 333 nt
Filed under: uncultured bacterium
Lineage: Bacteria
Description: bacterial SSU rRNA
Rfam family: Bacterial small subunit ribosomal RNA
Source: RNAcentral
UGCGUAGGUGGUCCGUUAAGUUUGUUGUGAAAUCCCCGGGCUCAACCCGGGAAUUGCUUCGAAUACUGGCGGACUUGAGUCCUGUAGGGGUCACUGGAACAGACGGUGGAGCGGUGAAAUGCGUAGAUAUCGUCUGGAACGCCUGUGGUGAAGACGGGUGACUGGGCAGGUUCUGACACUGAGGCACGAAAGCGUGGGGAGCGAACGGGAUUAGAUACCCCGGUAGUCCACGCCCUAAACGAUGCAGACUAGAUUGCAGCGGGUUUCACCCCGUUGCGGUCGGAGAAAAAUUGAUAAGUCUGCCACCUGGGAAGUACGGUCGCAAGGCUAAAA